UUCUGGCUCAGAACGAACGCUGGCGGCAGGCUUAGGCAUGCAAGUCGAACGGAUGACAGAGAGCUUGCUCUCUGAAGUCAGUGGCGCACGAGUGAGUAACGCGUGGGAAACUGCCCUUCACUGGGGAAUAACGUUUGGAAACGAACGCUAAUACCGCAUACGCCCGCAAGGGGAAAGAUUUAUCGGUGAUGGAUGUGCCCGCGUUGGAUUAGCCAGUUGGUGGGGUAAUGGCCUACCAAAGCAAUGAUCCAUAGCUGGUCUGAGAGGACGAUCAGCCACGCUGGAACUGAGACACGGUCCAGACUCCUACGGGAGGCAGCAGCUAAGAAUAUUGGGCAAUGGAGGAAACUCUGACCCAGCCCAUGCCGCGUGAAUGAAGAAGGCCUUCGGGUUGUAAAGUUCUUUUAGUCAUGAAGAUGAUGACAGUAGUGACAGAAAAAGCACCGGCUAACUUCGUGCCAGCCGCGGC
Molecule: ribosomal RNA, 469 nt
Filed under: uncultured bacterium
Lineage: Bacteria
Description: bacterial SSU rRNA
Rfam family: Bacterial small subunit ribosomal RNA
Source: RNAcentral